RNAcentral lists this ribosomal RNA (1245 nucleotides) under metagenome. RNAcentral describes it as "bacterial LSU rRNA". It matches the Rfam family "Bacterial large subunit ribosomal RNA", at positions 1556 to 2815 of the family's 2925-position model. The record is from RNAcentral.
GGAAGACGUGAUGUGGAGUGAAAUAUAGUAACGAAGCCCGUGAGCCAUGCGUCAAGAAAAGCCGCUAUUGUUUAUAUUGUACCCGUACCGUAAACCGACACAGGUGGAUGAGGAGAGAAUCCUAAGGCCGGCGGAAGAAGUAUUGCCAAGGAACUCGGCAAAAUGGCCCCGUAACUUAGGGAGAAGGGGUGCCUGCGAGAGCAGGCCGCAGAGAAUAGGCUCAAGCAACUGUUUAGCAAAAACACAGGUCUAUGCGAAACCGAAAGGUGAGGUAUAUGGGCUGACGCCUGCCCGGUGCUGGAAGGUUAAGAGGAGAGGUUAGCGGCAACGCGAAGCUUUGAAUUUAAGCCCCAGUAAACGGCGGCCGUAACGAUAACGGUCCUAAGGUAGCGAAAUUCCUUGUCGGGUAAGUUCCGACCCGCACGAAAGGCGUAAUGAUUUGAGCGCUGUCUCGGCAAUACAUCCGGUGAAAUUGAAGUGCCAGUGAAGAUGCUGGCUACCCGCGCCAGGACGGAAAGACCCCAUGGAGCUUUACUCCAGUUUGGCACUGGGGUCCGGUGUUGCAUGUACAGGAUAGGUGGGAGGCUGAGAAACGGUAACGUCAGUUGCCGCGGAGCCGCUGUUGGGAUACCACCCUUGUGAUAUUGGGCUUCUAACCAGCCGCCGUGAUCCGGCGGUGGGACAAUGCCAGGCGGGGAGUUUGACUGGGGCGGUCGCCUCCGAAAGGGUAUCGGAGGCGCCCAAAGGUUCCCUCAGAAUGGACGGAAACCAUUCGAAGAGUGCAAAGGCAGAAGGGAGCUUGACCGCGACACCGACGGGUGGAGCAGGUACGAAAGUAGGGCUUAGUGAUCCGGUGGUAUUAAGUGGGAAUGCCAUCGCUCAACGGAUAAAAGCUACCCUGGGAUAACAGGCUUAUCACUCCCAAGAGUUCACAUCGACGGAGUGGUUUGGCACCUCGAUGUCGGCUCAUCGCAUCCUGGGGCUGUAGUAGGUCCCAAGGGUUGGGCUGUUCGCCCAUUAAAGCGGUACGCGAGCUGGGUUCAGAACGUCGUGAGACAGUUCGGUCCCUAUCCGGCGUGGGCGCAGGAUAUCUGAGAGGAGCCGUCCUUAGUACGAGAGGACCGGGAUGGACGGACCGCUGGUGGACCGGUUGGCUUGCCAAAGCCAUGGCCGGGUAGCCAAGUCCGGAAGGGAUAAACGCUGAAGGCAUCUAAGCGUGAAGCCCCCCUCAAGAUGGGAUAUCCC